This 2623-nucleotide unclassified non-coding RNA is filed under the name Hevea brasiliensis (rubber tree). Lineage: Eukaryota; Viridiplantae; Streptophyta; Magnoliopsida; Malpighiales; Euphorbiaceae. The record is from RNAcentral.
CUUGAAUAAUUUGAGUAAGGUAUAACACCCGAAUUCCUACAAAUAUAGAAGAAAAAUAGCUACUCUAUGGACUCAUUGCUCAUUUCGAGUUGAUGUUCAACAGCUAUCAUAUUUCACAAUUCCAGACAGACUGAGCUAGUAUACACCCGCAAAAUUUCAGUGGCUAAAAUUAGGUGUACGAGUAUAAACAGCUAAUAGGCAGUCUUCUUUUCAUGUAAAACUCAUUUUUGGUACUACAAAAGUUCAUCUCUGCUUCCAUAGGCGAAGAACCGAUUUUCAUUAACAAACUGAUAGUACCUUUCCUCCCCAUAAAGUUGCCUGCAAGUUCAAGUAGUUAAUCUAAGCUUAUUAUAAACUCCCAUGUAAAUCAAAACAAACUCAUACUUUAUAUAUCGAGUUAUGACUCAUAUUCAUUAGAGGGAAAUUUACCAUUCGCUAAAAGCUUCUGGCAAAAGGGAGGAGCUCUGUAAUUAGGAGUAACUAUGUAAAUCUUAUUUGCAUUAGGAAUCCAGGGUGCACAAGGAUUAAGUUAUCACAAAAAGGCGUCCAUGGAUGUAGCCAAACUUGCUGACCAUGUAAAAUCCUUGUGUUUGCUUUUCUCUCUUUAUUUCCUAAUCUCUGUGUGUUUGAGUGUGUGUGUGUGUGUGCGCGUUCAGGGGUACUUUAUACUACCAAUAUGAACGGUUAAUUCAACGCAAUAGAGCACAAUCAAGCACUUGAUCAGUUGAAAAAUACUCAACUCAACUCAACUGAACCAAGCCUUUAUCCCAAGUUGAUCAGUUGAAAAAUAAGUAAAUAAAAAUCUUGGGCAAUCAAACAGAGCAUGAAGAAGUACAAAGAACUAACCAUGAGGUAGAACUAGAGUGCAAUAUAUAUAUCCAAUAAUAACUAGCAUCUAAUUGAUAAAUCUUAAUCCACAGUUAAGUAAAAGUGACGGCUAUUCCCAAGCAACAACUCCCUCGUGGAUAAAGAGUUGCUAAGAGGUGUGGAGUGGAGACUAGGCUAGAAGUAGGCGACCUAUUUCAUUAAGUCUCCCGAUAGAACAAGACAAAAGAUUGAAUCCUGUAGGCUACCAAUCUGUGUAUCAGGGGCAAAAUUAACAUAGCCAUGGAAGGCAAGCAAGACAGCAAUUGUGAAGUGUGAGAUUUAAAAAAAAUAUCAAAUCUACCCUAGUGUAGCAUUUUCAAGGCUAGCAUAGGCUUCUAUACUGGACAAGGAUUCUGCUGGUUAUCCUCGAGCAGAACCCAGCCACAUGGUGCAUAAAAAUAUAAAGUGUCGCUUUAUUAUAGCAUCAAGUUUUCAUGUAGCAUUGGCCCCCCAACAAAUCCCUGCACAGUUCCCUAAAAAUAAAUGAUUUGGUGGCAUACACUACUAGAUGAAAUUUCAACUUCAGUGGCUAACUAUACUUGACUUCAUCAGGUUGUUUAAACUGAAAGAAGAUGCACAAUCUAAAUCAAACUUACGCUAUUUCUGCCAAAUUUUCUGACUUGAUCACACUCUUCCCCUCUGGGAGUUCAAGGCAAGAAUAAUGCAUAAUCAUUUCCUUCAACGUGUGCUUUGUGCUUUUAACAUCAUUCUCCCAUAAGAUACUCAAAAUGUAAGGAAUGCCCAAAAAGAAAUUUCAGCUUCUUCCAGAAAGGAUAUUAUAAAAGAUAAGCAUCCCCAUUUAAUUUCAGAGAGUCACUGGCAGUGGCUGACCUUUCUGACAUAUUCUCUUUUGACCUUUUCCCAGUGCACUUUGUCUUCAGGAGAGAAAACUGAAGCAUUCCAAAGAGCUCCUCUUGCAACCAUCACUGAAGAGGCACCUGUUGCAGCUCUAAUUCGUUUGAAAUCACCAUAAUCAAAGACAUCUCCAUUUGCAAUGACUGGAAUAGAUAAUGCUGAUACAACUUCAGCAAUCUCACUCCAUUUGGCUGGAUCCCUUGGUCUAUCUGCAACUAGUCUUCCAUGAACAGCAAGAGCAGAAACACCAGUUUUUUCAAUUCGCCUCGCCAGUUCCACUGUAUCCUGGGAAGACUUUAGAAGUCGAAUCUUACAUGUCACUGGACAGCUCAAGUUCCUCUUCAAUGUUGUCAAAAUAUCGUGAAUGAGCUCUGGUUUAUUCAACAGUGCAGCACCCAUGCCCCCACUUAUGGAAAAUGAUUUAGGGCAACCCAUAUUGACAUCUAUUGCAGCAACAUCAUUACACACUAUUUGAGCAGCAGUUAGAGCCCUCACAGCAUCAGAAGUGCCAAUUUGGAAUACAACCCGGUUUCUUUCUUCAUUGCAGGUUCUGAAGACAACAUUUUCUGUUCCUUUCUCCACAAAAUCAGUACACCCAACGUAUUCAUUUAAACUGUGGUUGCAUUCAAUGGGUUCAAGAUCAAUGAUCCCUCCUUGAAUGUAAUCUUUGCAGCAUAUGGAGCUGGUAACCGUUUACUUUGCGUUCACAUUUGACCAUCUUAUGAUCAAUAAUCUCUUCCCCGUAUGUAAUAUCAGCGCCGCAUUCAGCAGCUAGUAACCUAAACGGCAACGUCCCGACUCGAACCAUGGGAGCGAGGACCAGCUUGUUAUGGUACUCCAUAUUCUUCGUCGAUGGAGAGCUGAGAUUAGGUGAACAAAACUGCAGCACCUUUGAGUAAAU